AAGAGAAAUUAAAAAAUAGCUGCUAACUGUUUUGUAACUAAUUAAAUGUUAUUCUCUUA
Molecule: transfer RNA, 59 nt
Filed under: Purohita sinica
Lineage: Eukaryota; Metazoa; Arthropoda; Insecta; Hemiptera; Delphacidae
Description: tRNA-Ser
Source: RNAcentral